RNAcentral lists this ribosomal RNA (256 nucleotides) under uncultured bacterium. RNAcentral's name for it is "partial 16S ribosomal RNA". It matches the Rfam family "Bacterial small subunit ribosomal RNA", at positions 524 to 776 of the family's 1533-position model. The record is from RNAcentral.
CACGUAGGGUGCGAGCGUUGUCCGGAAUUAUUGGGCGUAAAGAGCUCGUAGGCGGUGUGUCGCGUCGGCCGUGAAAACCUGCAGCUUAACUGUGGGCUUGCGGUCGAUACGGGCAUCACUGGAGUUCGGCAGGGGAGACUGGAAUUCCUGGUGUAGCGGUGAAAUGCGCAGAGUAUCAGGAGGAACACCGGUGGCGAAGGCGGGUCUCUGGGCCGAUGACUGACGCUGAGGAGCGAAAGCGUGGGGAGCGAACAGG